UACAGAUAACUCAGGAUCAUGUUUAAUUAUGUAAAAAAAGCUCUAAAGUCAGGUAAUGGUUUUCAUGUGCUUCUCUUGAGCAGUCUGAGGACAGAAUAGAAACAGAAACCCCUUGGGACCUGAGUAGACACAGCUGGUCAAGCACAGGCAGAGGCUCUGGGUCAGUGCAGGAAGCAGAGACCAGGGUGUAUCAUCUUCACGUCCCCCAAGAUCUGUGCAAAGGUGAAAUCAGCUCACGAGGACACAGAACUUCAGCUUGAUGCAGACGUGUGGGAGGUGGGGGAACAGCUGUUACUCUUCUGAGGAAUAUGAAAGGUUCAAUCUUUUUAGGAAAUUGGAAGAUACCUCAUCUGGACCACUAGCAGCCUCUACCAGUCACUGGAAAAUGCCUAUAGGCAGUAGCCACCAAAGCGUGGCACAAAGUGGGCAUCAUCCUAGCGUCUAACAUUUAAGCUGUGGUUCUGGCUCCACAUUUCACAAGAAGAUGCCACCAAAGUUAAGGCUUGGUUCUGGGGAACAACCUAUGGAGAUUCCUAGAAACUGGCAAACCUCCC
Molecule: long non-coding RNA, 554 nt
Filed under: Macaca fascicularis (crab-eating macaque)
Lineage: Eukaryota; Metazoa; Chordata; Mammalia; Primates; Cercopithecidae
Description: HLA-DQB1 antisense RNA 1
Source: RNAcentral